AGCAGCCGCGGUAAUUCCAGCUCCAAUAGCGUAUAUUAAAGUUGUUGCAGUUAAAAAGCUCGUAGUUGAAUUUCGGGGUUAGUAGGUUGGUCAUGCCUCUGGUAUGUACUGGUCUCACUGAUUCCUCCUUCCUGAUGAGCCGUAAUGCCAUUAAUUUGGUGUUGCGGGGAAUUUGGACUGUUACUUUGAAAAAUUAGAGUGUUUAAAGCAAGCUAACGCUUGAAUACAUUAGCAUGGAAUAAUGAAAUAGGACGUUCGAUCCUAUUUUGUUGGUUUCUAGGAUUGACGUAAUGAUUAAUAGGGAUAGUUGGGGGCAUUAGUAUUCAAUUGUCAGAGGUGAAAUUCUUGGAUUUAUUGAAGACUAACUACUGCGAAAGCAUUUGCCAAGGAUGUUUUCAUUAAUACAAGAACGAAAGUUAGGGGAUCGAAGACGAUCAGAUACCGUCGUAG
This 450-nucleotide ribosomal RNA is filed under the name uncultured Glomeromycotina. RNAcentral's name for it is "SSU rRNA". It matches the Rfam family "Eukaryotic small subunit ribosomal RNA", at positions 569 to 1023 of the family's 1831-position model. The record is from RNAcentral. Lineage: Eukaryota; Fungi; Glomeromycota.